Long non-coding RNA from Populus nigra (black poplar), 2878 nucleotides. RefSeq lists it as uncharacterized. Lineage: Eukaryota; Viridiplantae; Streptophyta; Magnoliopsida; Malpighiales; Salicaceae. The transcript is spliced from 3 exons. The record is from RefSeq and is a predicted model, not a curated record.
AUAUUGAUGUCGACAUGUGAUAGAUUAAGCUUCCGAUAGAAAGAUAUGUUUUCAACAGCACUAGUUUCCUGAAUAUGAUUUUGUAUGGAUGGGUGAUCUCUACCAUCUCCUGUGAUCGAUGGUGGAAGCUCUAUUUAUGGUCAAAUUAAGCUCUCAUGUUAAGCGUUUAAUAAUAAUGGUGGAAGCUCUAUUUAUGGUCAAAUUAAGCUGUCAUGUUAAGCGUUUAAUAAUAAGAAUUGAUUGGGAACAUCUUCUUGAAUAGAGGUACCAAUAUGGCCUUAAGCCAGUUGAUACGUCUCAGGUCGGUAUCAGUAUUAGAAGGUGGAAGCUCAUGAGGAACUAGUUUAACAUGCGUAUUUCCAAUUGAGUUAGUUGAUCUAUUGUAAGGAAGGGUUGUUGAUCCCGAAUAACCCACCUGAGUAUGAGCAUCAGAAACCAUGAAGUUGUCUUUUUUCCAUAGUAUUGUUCUUAGUAGCGCGCGUCCCUUCUUUGGUUAGUUGUCUUAUAGGGAUUCUUACUAGAAACUACAUUUGAGUCCCAAUUUAUAUGUUAGACUCGGUAGCCAUCAACGACAUUUAAUGCAUCAAGUACUGUUUAGCGUUGGGAGAGCUGUCGACGCCUGUUUAGUUGGGUUCUAACUAAUCUGGUCAUUUUUGGACGGUGCUGGGAAAGAAAUAUGACUAGAUAAAUGCUUUUCUUCCAUUUCAUCUGAUCUGGUGUUUGUUUGGUUCCUUUUCUAAUGAUUAAGUCGUAUGUUAAGAUGCCAUGCUGUUGUGUGGGGAUUGGGUUCUCAUCUAAUCCAAUAGAAAUGCCUUUGUAAGACACCCAUGGUGUUCUGCUCUCUUUUAUCUUUAGUUAUUGUGUCGACUGUUCUUCUAUAUGGAAUCAACUGAGUUCAUGCUUCAUUUCUUUGAAAAAAAGCUUCUGAACAGCCCCUUCUCAGGUCUGGUUUAGAUGUGGGUUUUCACUUAUCCUGUUAGGUUUUCAUGUAAACAGGUGCUGGAUUUUAAAUUCUCUUAAAGCUUUCUUUAUGAAUUUGAACAUAUUUCCUUCUGUAUUAUCUGGAUUGCAUUUUUUUUUUCUUUUGAAAGGACUGUUGAGCUAGCCUUUCGAUCAUCUACUGUCUAGAUUGGUUUCUGGUUUCGUCCCUUUUCAUUUCCUUUCAAAUAGGUGCUUGAUUCUAUUGUUUGCUUCUGUAUUGCAUUAUGAGUUUAGAAUUAUGGGCUUACUGUUUUUUUGUUUUCUCUUCUUUAGUUGAGGUCUAUGGUUGUGGGUUCUUACUCCUGCACUUUGCUUGCGCUGGAAAGCCUUCUCAGACUUUGGUUCAUGGCAGGUGCAAUACAAAUCGUGGGCUUCAUGGGAGCAUUUGGAGCAUAUAAAUUAGUCCCAAUUGUUCCGUCGUUUGCUUUGCACUUAUCCUUUUCUUCUUCUUCUUCUUUUUUUUUUUUAAUUUUUCUUAGCAUGUUUUAUAUUUUUUUGUUUUAAGCAUGUGAAUUUCGAUUCUUAUGUGAUAGAAAUUAAUUUGCCAAUGCAGUUCAUUUUAUUUGUUUUUAGUUUCUUUGAUUUUGUAUUCCUAUUUCAUUUGUUUAAAACAUUUCCUAGAAUUAGUAAAAAAAUGUAAUUUUAUUUUUCAAUUUAUACAAGUUGUGCAGCAAGUGCAUUUCUUAGAGGAAUGAGAUGAGUUUAAUCAAGAGAUGAUUAAAAACGAUGAGGCUCGAUAUAAACUUGGUCCAAAAAAGAAAAAAAAAAUACAACCUUAGCAUUGGGUAAGAAACACUAUCUUCAUUGUUUUGGUCUUUUAACAUGUUUUUCCGUAUGUGUUUCUUUGUGACUCUCUGGUAUCUGUCCUUUGUCUCUAUGUUGCUUCCCUUUUUAUUUCUAUUUUUCCUCGCAUGCUUUUCUGCUUAUGAGUAUUCAAAGGCUUAAAUUGGCUCAUGUUUUAGCAUGGUUUGGCCUGAAGGAUUCUGUUGAAUGUGUUUGCUGUUGUUGCAAACAACCUUUUCCAGGUUUGUCUUUGGUCACCUGUUUUUUUUUAUUGCCACGUUGGUUAUUGGUUUUUUUCCUCUGGAAAUAUAAAUUAUGUUUGCCUUUUCUGCUUUUCAUCGGUUACUAUUGCUCUUUGCCUUUUCUACUCUCCAUCAGUUACCAUUUUCCUUUCCAUUUUAGCUUUGUUGCUUCAAUCGCAAUUUGUUUAGUGGUUCUCACCUUUAUUGGUGUUCACUUGCACUAACUUCUUGGUUUGCUUGAAUAAAUCUUUUCCUCCUUGCUUUACUUGCAGAGCUAUUUUCCCUGCCCUUUUCACUUGCUUUUUACUCUUUGUCCAGAUUUUCUUGCAGACGACUGCUCGCUUUUUAGGUUGUCCAGCCCCUCCCCUUGUAGCAUCAAAGAUUCAAUGUGCCCAAACAUUUCUCCUUAAGGUUUAAAGAUUGAGAAGUGCAACCUCAAAAAACUUCAUCAACUAUGUUAAUGAGACAUGAGCAUUAGGGUGCGCAAGGAUUUUAAUCAUGACAUUAUAAGCUCAUAAGUUAUGGUAUGCAGUGAUAGCGUUUGCCACCCUGUGAUGUGCAGUUACUUCUGUGUAAACACAUGAAAGAAAUAGAGCAGCUUUAUUUUUUCCUUCAGAACCAGUUUCCCGUGAUGGUUAUUUAUCUAAGCUGGAAGUUUGGAAACUAGUAGUGUAAUUUCUUGCAUUAUGUCAUUUGGUGCCCUUCAUUUCAUAGCAAGGUGUCGGAGAGAACUGUACAUGUGUUAUCGAACUCAAUUUUUUAGCUUUGUCAUAUGGGGAUUAGAUAGAUUUGCACAUUUUCUGAUACUUUGAUUCUUUGCACUCUUGAAUCUUUGGCAUACAAGGUUUUUAAGAUUGUUUGUUCCAACCUAA